RNAcentral lists this transfer RNA (59 nucleotides) under Changeondelphax velitchkovskyi. Its description in RNAcentral is "tRNA-Ser". The record is from RNAcentral. Lineage: Eukaryota; Metazoa; Arthropoda; Insecta; Hemiptera; Delphacidae.
AAGGGGUUUAUAAAAGAAGCUGCUAACUAACUUUUAAACAUUUAAUUGUUGACUCCUUG